AUUAGGAAUCUUGCGCAAUGGGCGAAAGCCUGACGCAGCGACGUCGCGUGACCGAUGAAGUCCUUCGGGAUGUAAAGGUCUUUUGCAGGGGAAGAAGGAUGUGACGGUACCCUGCGAAUAAGCCCCGGCUAACUACGUGCCAGCAGCCGCGGUAAUACGUAGGGGGCGAGCGUUGUCCGGAUUCACUGGGCGUAAAGCGCGCGUAGGCGGGUUGCUAAGUUGGUGGUGAAAUCCCGAAGCUCAACUUCGGAACUGCCUCCAAAACUGGCAGCCUUGAGGUAUGGAGAGGGAAGUGGAAUUCCUGGUGUAGCGGUGAAAUGCGUAGAUAUCAGGAGGAACACCCGUGGCGAAGGCGGCUUCCUGGCCAUAUCCUGACGCUGAGGUGCGAAAGCCAGGGGAGCGAACGGGAUUAGAUACCCCUGUAGUCC
RNAcentral lists this ribosomal RNA (428 nucleotides) under uncultured bacterium. RNAcentral describes it as "bacterial SSU rRNA". It matches the Rfam family "Bacterial small subunit ribosomal RNA", at positions 354 to 796 of the family's 1533-position model. The record is from RNAcentral.